Molecule: long non-coding RNA, 1483 nt
Filed under: Homo sapiens (human)
Lineage: Eukaryota; Metazoa; Chordata; Mammalia; Primates; Hominidae
Description: HSALNT0040731
Source: RNAcentral
CCUUGUUGUGGUCAGUGAGAGACAUGAGAAUGGAAGAAUGUCAGAGAGAUGCAACGUUGCUGGUUUUGAAGAUGCAGGAAGCUGGUUAUUCCCAGUUUAGGGAAUGUGGGAGGCCUCUAGAAACUGGAAAAGGCAAGAACAUGGGUUCUCCCUAGAGCCUUCAGACAGAAACACAGUUCUAAGAACACUCUGAUUUUAACCCAGUGAGACCAGUGCCAGACUUCUAAACUACAGAACUGUAAGAAGUUGCUAAGUUUGUGGUAAUCUGUUACAACAGCAAUAGAAAACUAAUAGAACGUGGGAUGAGAUACAAUGAGGACACAGCCUUGUGUUAUUUGCUGGCCAUCACAAACUCUCUUUGUUGUUUCUACUCCUAGGUAAAAGGUCAUUAAUUAGGAGAAGAUUUAUCUCAAGGAAACGUAUGAUCUGUGGGUAGUGUGGUCAAAGAUGACUUCUGCAGAUAAAAACAUCAUCUUGUAUGCAAGUUGAACUGCAAAGACUACCUUACUGUUCACUCCCAGAAUGGCAAAAAGAUAGAUGAAGAUGGAGAAAUGUGCACCUAACACUGCAUCUUUAUGAGCAAAGGAUUUUCUUUGGAAAAACUGUGAUUAUAUGAAAAUCAUAGGACAUUUUAUUUGUGACUACAGGGCGUGGUGAAAACCUCUGCUACCAUACUGGAUACAAGGUCUUUAACUUCUCAGCACCAGUUUUAUGGAGCCCCCACCGCUAAGCAAGUAUGCAAAAUGCAGUGCUGCUUCGCAUUGGGAAAUCCCCAAUCUGGUGCCAAGAGGUUCAUAAAUACAGUAAUGGACCCUCUUAUGUCAAAAGUGAGUACUGUUUAACAGCGUAAGUUGGAACAGCCUUCAGGAUGCUUUGCAGCUGCAGUUGUUCCACUGCAAGACAUCACAAACUUCAUGAUGAUGGUUGUCACACCAGGUCCUGGAAAGGCAACCUACUUCAGUCUGCAAAGUGAACUAAAAGGGAAUGGUUGUUCAUACAUGGCCCUGAUGCCACUGACAUAAGAAACGCAAUGACAAGAGCGAUGAAGUAGGAAUUUGGUGGCAGAUGGUCAGGUCUGCAGGAAGUGUCCACCCAGCUUUGUUUGGCCCAUAUUCUGAAACAACUAGAAUAAACACUUAGUGUCAUAAUUUAUAAGCAUAUCAGUACCAAUAAAUCAGAAUCAUGCAAACAGUCAUGUUUAUUAUAUUCUUGUUGCUUAAUAUUCAUGACAGUAAUUUAUUUUUAUAGUACAGUUUUACUGUUCUCUCCACCAUUGCUCUCUGCAUUUAAGGCUGGCAAGUUGUACUAGCAGAAGUUCAGGUAACCCUUUGAAGACUGCAAAAUUCAUUAGCCUGGUCAAAAGACUUGAUUUGCUCAUUUAAUUUUUCCCUUUUUCUCUCAUAAACUUUUAAGCCACUGAGAUGAAAUUUCUGGAAACUAAGUAGUAAUAAUACUUCUUCGACAUGUAGAAAAUGUGAAUACU